Molecule: long non-coding RNA, 316 nt
Organism: Hibiscus syriacus
Lineage: Eukaryota; Viridiplantae; Streptophyta; Magnoliopsida; Malvales; Malvaceae
Exons: 3
Source: RefSeq, a predicted model, not a curated record
GUAGUGAGGAUGAGCCAGGAUCUUGGCCUUGAUAGAAGAGCUGCCAUCGUUGUUCCACUCCAUGAAAUAACAUCCAGUAUUGCUGUUGAUGAUGUUUGUUGCUGGUGUUGUGAUGAUCGUCCAUUAUCAUAGGAGAACCACUGCUGCUAUUGUGGUUCUGGUCUUGAUUGUUAGAGUGAGGUAGAGGAAGAAAUAAGGAUCCUGAUGAAUCUGUAUUAUGAUGAUGAUGGUGAUGAGAAGUCAUGGGAUGAUGCAACAUCGACAUAGGACACAACACAUUACCAUUGUGUCCAAAAGCCAUCAUGCAAGAAGUGCU